Molecule: non-coding RNA, 115 nt
Organism: Acanthosepion pharaonis
Lineage: Eukaryota; Metazoa; Mollusca; Cephalopoda; Sepiida; Sepiidae
Source: the annotation of a GenBank genome assembly
UUGUGAUCAUAUCACUUUGAAACACCAGCUCCUGUACGAUCCUCAAAGUUAAGCAACAUUGAGUCUGGUAAGUACCUUGAUGGGUGAAUCACUUGGAAAUACCAAGUGCUGUAAG